UUCUGCCAACACAACCCUGGAACACAGAGCCAGACAGCAUUCUUUCCUUGCAGAACAUUCUGAAGAGGCUAAGAGAUGUGGAAACAAGGUUUACUAGAAACUGUGCAAGCUGUUUCAUAAUCACAAUGUUGAGAACUGGAAAGGAUGAUCCUUUUUAAAGUUGGGGAACCACUAGCCCAACAUCGCCAUGAGGGGAAAUAGAGGCCGUGUCAGCCCCAACCAUCAAAGGAGACCUUUGUGCACUGGGUUUGCUGUAAAUGACAGAAGCCACUUCAAAAGCCUCUUUGGAGCUGUUCAGUAAAAUGCUCAGGGAACACCUGGGCACACUCAGGCAAGAUAAACCACACAGACACCUCGCAGACAGACCUCCCAGGACAGAGGGACAGCAACAAGACUCCAAAAGCAACUUGAAGUUUUGGCAGCAUGAUCAUCCACAGAGUGAAGUUCAACAUUCAGUCAAGAAGAAUCAUUCUGAUUACUUAAUUGGAAGAUCUGAUACUUCUGAAAUGAAACAUUUCACAAACUCUACUGAAAUAAGAAAUACUUUUGAUUUAUUUUUUAAAAAAUGAAUCAUUGGUUAUGGAAAGAACUAUAUGGUCUUGCAGACAGGACAAAGUUAAAGAUGUUUUGCAAGCUUAACACAACCAAAUCUGAUUUGAGAAUUAUUUUGAGGCUUGCAGCUCUGUUUGUGGCAUAAAUAUAUACAUACAUACAUACGCAGGUAUAUAUGUAUGCAAAAAUGCUUAUUGACUGUGGAAAUGACAGUUUAAGUCACUCUGUAUUUCUUUUUUCCAUGAGUCUAAUAUUGAAUUACGAUGAUUCAAAGGCUCUCAGAGUGUUGUGCUAACAUCGUAAAUGGCUAAACAUCCAAAAAAGAAAACAAUUAAAACACAACGCACACACAAUUUUCUUAAAGUUGUGGAAAAUUAGGUAGGCACAGUUGAUUGUUUUGAGCUGGUAGAAAAACCUGGGCAGCUAGCAGAGGUCUGGACAACCACGGAAAGCCCACAGCAAGGACCACACCGUGAGCAGCCACCAGAGAUUUGGGAUGGUAGACUUACCAAGAGUGUCCACUGGCGGGGGGGCACACGGUGAGAAAGUGCAGGAUACACAAUUGACACAAAAAGGAAAAUAAUAAAGUCAAACUGGUAUUCAAGCAGCAGCAGUCUUACCUUUGUUUCAUGUGUUAAACAGUCCAUGGCUCGCCACCAAAUUUUCUAUUAGGGCUGAUUAAACCCACAUCCACAUUCCCCUUCUCUGCCUUACUAAUAUCUUCCUUCCUUCUCAUCUAAACAAAACCUUCCCAGUUAGUAAUGACCACCCCUAGAGAAGACAGCAAGGAUUUUUAAAAAGAGAGAUGAAGAAUAUAUACCCAGAAGAAGCCAAGCUUUGGCAAGAAAACCUUUCGAGUGUCAUUUACCAUCACUUGAAAAAUAUCUAGGAAAUUCCUAGGAAACAAAGCUUAGGGUGGGAUGAAAAUGGAAAAAAAAAAUUAAAGAGUUUAAAAUUGUAGUAUAACAGCAAAUACUAUGCUCGUAUAGAACUCUGUGAGUCUGUUUAUUACAUUUAUAACAUUGGCUUUGCAGCCUCUAGUGGAAAGUGAGAGAGUCAACUAUUUACAUGUCAGCUGUGCAGUUAACAUAUUAUAAUGUUCCAGUUCUCUCUCUCUCAAGAAAAGUCCCUGCUGGGCGCAGUGGUGUGUGCCUGUAAUCCCAGCUACUAGGGAGGCUGAGGCGGGAAGAUCCCUGAAGCCCAGGAGUUUGAGGUCAGCCUAGGCCACCUAGUGAGAUGCUGACUCAAAAAAAAAAAAAAAAAAAAUCAAGACUUCUUAGAUUUAAUGAUGUCAUGGUAAUAAGUGGAACAGUGACCAUAAUAAGUACCUAAUGAAUGCUGGCCAUUAUUAUUUUUAAAAAUCCCUUAUAAACUUUUUGUAGUUACAGAUGGAAACAGAAGGCUUUACCAGAAUUUUUUUAUUUUUUUUUUUGAGACAGAGUCUCCCUCCGUUGCCCAGGCUGGAGUGCAGUGGUGCAAUCUUGGCUCAUUGCAACCUCCACCUUCCAGGUUCAAGCAAUUCUCCUGCCUCAGCCUCCCGAGUAGCUGGGACUACAGGCGCCCGCCACCACGCCCGGCUAAUUUUUGUAUUUUUAGUAGAGAUGGGGUUUCACCAUGUUGGCCAGGAUGGUCUCGAUUUCUUGACCUCAUGAUGCACCCGCCUCAGCCUCCCAAAGAGCUGGGAUUACAGGCGUGAGCCACCACGCACAGCCCAGAAUUAAUUUUUAAUUCACAUUGAUAGUAACAUGGGAGUUAAAUGAGAAUAAGGCUGCUGAGUUCAUACGGUUGGGUGGCACACGUAGGUAAAUACAAUGUAAAACGCCUCUCAUUUCUGAUGCUCUCUCUUACUUUUCCCCAUUGGGUCGUGGUCAACUCCAAGACCUCCAAGGCAAUAAGCUGAUUAUCAUGGAGCAGGAAGAGGGCUCAAGAGACACUGUUCAGAGCCUGGGGUUACUGGGUCCGCUCCACACCAUCUCCCCAGCAUCCUGCCGCCUCCGUCCCUCCACCUGUCGGCAAUGCUGGCUCUGCCCCGUGCUCUUGACCCUGUGCACGAGCCCAGAAUUUCUCUGAGGGUGAGGACUGGCUAACUCCUUGCCUCGUGUUUACUUCUAGUAGGCAUCUGACAAGCUUGCCUUCAAGAAAAACAGGCACACUCAUCCACAGCCAUAGCAUAUCCCAAGCUGCUAAAAAAUGAUUUUGAGAUAAAACCUACCAAAGGCAAACCAUUGAAAGUUUCUUGAAGGAAAUAUUUAAACACCUUUAGAUUACAAACCACCUCUCUAUAUAGUAAGAAAGAGUCGAAGAAUGUGAUAAAAGGUGGUAUCUGCAGAGUAAGAAGGAAAGUGAGCCGCUCACAAAAAUCACAUCCGUGUGUGUCUGCCCACGUCAAGGAUGGUGGUAAAACCAUGCUUACAUGCACAAAGGCACUUGAAAUGCUAAAAGGAGAGUCCAGAGAAUUUUUAGAUCAAAGAUCAGAGUUUUUGAAAAAGGCAUGGCAGGAAGCUGCUUGAGAAUCUCCUGGAAACAUAUUAAAAAGGAAGUGAUUAUCUGGCUGCAUACAUCAGAUUCCGUCUAUCAGGACAAAAAAAAAAAUGUAUCCAAAACCUUCAUCCAUCCGAACGCGUGGUGCGUCAGAAGGAACUGCUAACACUUUUACAAACCGAGGGUCCGGGAAUCUGCCACUUGAAGGAGAUGAAACAGAUCCCUCGAGGUGUUCUAGUAGAAAGGGAAAUGUCAGCUAACCAGACCCCUAAACAACUGAAAGCCUCAAAUGACCAGAUUUCUUCCAGCCCUUAAGUGAGUUGUGUUUUCUUCAGUCCAUUCUCAGCCAUACAUAUGCCUCCUAGGAGAGCUCUCCAUAAAAGAUUCCAGUCCGAAUGUGACUCUAGUACCUUUCAGAAGGCUGCUUUCAUCCCAGAAAUAUACAAAUAGAACACCUGGUCCAAAACUGCACUUACUGAUUUUAGAAAAAAAUCUUUAUAAAGGACAGAAAUAAAAAUUAUUUUCUGGUGGUAUCUUGAAGUAACUAGAAAUUCUCUAGAACAUUCCAAGCUAUGGAUCUGACCGAUCUCGUGGACCUAAGUCCACCGUGUGGAAAAGACACGGUGCCAGAGACUGCUGGUGUGAGGCUGUGGCUGAGAAGACAGAUGCUUCAGAAACCCCUGAUCCCAACCUCCAUUCUCUCAUCUGUCAGGCCAAUGUGCCCUAAGAAACCACACAACUGAAUGCCAAUCAUUCCCAAGUCCCAGGGCCAGAUGCCUCUCUUCAUGUUAUGCACAGUCCAGCAUUCUAUGGGUCCCAUAUCUUCCUAUCCAGCCUUGAUAGGGAGCUCAUUAUCCUGCAGGCAGCCCGAGCCAGUGCUAGGAAGGUCUAAUUGCCAGAAACUUCUUUUGAUGUUGCAUUGCAAUCACCCUAUCAGGCUUCACCCAGAGGUAUAAAUUCUGCUAAUUGGGCAAUGCCAGUGACUUUGAGUGACAGAGGACAACCAAUUCAGCCUCCAUGCAGAACUUAGAUAAAAGGAUUAUCACUGUAGCCAAGAACUUAGGGCCUCUGAAAACUGAGUGGUGGAAGAGCUGAGGGAAAACAGCCACUUUUUCUUCCUUCAUCCUUUUCACCAAACUCCCAAACCUUUUCUAAGCCUAAGCAUCUUCCCUGGACCACCUCUCCCAGCCCAGGAAUCCUUCCUCUCUCAAAGCUGCCAACCUGUCAGUUAUGUGGAGUUCAGCCCCGAACUGUGACCAGCCUGCUCUCUUCCGGGCCUCAGACUUCAUGGAAUAUGGUAGUAAUUUUACUUAUAAAUGCUUACCUCUACAGUCACUAAAAUGUUACUAUGUCACAAACCCUAUUACUUGUCAAACACUAGCUCCCAGGUGCCCUGGUUAGAUAGGAUACAAAUCUGAGAAGCUCCAGACUAAAAUAAAACAUACGAAAGAAA
This 4486-nucleotide long non-coding RNA is filed under the name Homo sapiens (human). RNAcentral describes it as "HSALNT0349562". The record is from RNAcentral. Lineage: Eukaryota; Metazoa; Chordata; Mammalia; Primates; Hominidae.